Molecule: ribosomal RNA, 434 nt
Filed under: uncultured bacterium
Lineage: Bacteria
Description: bacterial SSU rRNA
Rfam family: Bacterial small subunit ribosomal RNA
Source: RNAcentral
UGGGGAAUCUUGCGCAAUGGCCUAACGGCUGACGCAGCGACGCCGCGUGUGGGAUGAAGCUCUUCGGAGUGUAAACCACUGUUGCCCGGGACGAAUAGCUCGAUUCAUCGAGCCUGACGGUACCGGGUGAGGAAGCACCGGCUAACUCCGUGCCAGCAGCCGCGGUAAUACGGGGGGUGCGAGCGUUGUCCGGAAUCACUGGGCGUAAAGGGCGCGUAGGUGGUUUGAUAAGGGUGUGGUGAAAGUCCGGGGCUCAACCCCGGAUCUGCCGUGCCGACUGUCAAACUCGAGGGCUGUAGAGGCAGACGGAAUUCCGGGUGUAGCGGUGGAAUGCGUAGAGAUCCGGAGGAAGACCGGUGGCGAAGGCGGUCUGCUGGGCAGUUUCUGACACUGAUGCGCGACAGCGUGGGGGAGCAAACAGGGAUUAGAUACCC